This 354-nucleotide ribosomal RNA is filed under the name uncultured bacterium. Its description in RNAcentral is "bacterial SSU rRNA". It matches the Rfam family "Bacterial small subunit ribosomal RNA", at positions 448 to 793 of the family's 1533-position model. The record is from RNAcentral.
AACACGUAUGAGAGUAACUGUUCAUACGUUGACGGUAGUUUAACCAGAAAGUCACGGCUAACUACGUGCCAGCAGCCGCGGUAAUACGUAGGUGGCAAGCGUUAUCCGGAUUUAUUGGGCGUAAAGAGAGUGCAGGCGGUUUUCUAAGUCUGAUGUGAAAGCCUUCGGCUUAACCGGAGAAGUGCAUCGGAAACUGGAUAACUUGAGUGCAGAAGAGGGUAGUGGAACUCCAUGUGUAGCGGUGGAAUGCGUAGAUAUAUGGAAGAACACCAGUGGCGAAGGCGGCUACCUGGUCUGCAACUGACGCUGAGACUCGAAAGCAUGGGUAGCGAACAGGAUUAGAUACCCUGGUAG